UCUUCAGAGGGGAAGGUCUAUCUCCUGAGUGAGGAGACCAGCACCUGGGAAAGCACAGUGCUGGGCAGGCUUUGGGGAGAAGAACGGAACUCCAGCCUGCUACCUUCCAGGCUGCAGGCCCUGAGGGAAGGGCCUAGCUGGUGCAAAGGGGCUGAAUGGGAAGUGGCCCAGGGAGAGAGGUGCACAAGGAGAGAGAAGGAGAGCAGGAAGGCUGCCACCAAAGGGUCCCUGGGUUGGGAACCAGAGUAGUGGGUGGGUCUGGGUCCCCCCUUCCCCCUUGUACUGUACCUGGCCAUGCAGUAGGGUGGUGGAAACAAACUGCAACUGGCCCUUGGGGCAAGGGGCUAGACUUUGGAGGUUGUGGUUGGCCAGUGCAAGGACUGUUGCUAACUGCCCCCCUCCCAGAAUAGGGUGAAGAGGGACUAGGGGGCACUGCUGGAGGGCAGUGGCCUGAAGAGGAUGCUGUCAAGCGGGGAGCAACACAGGUCCAGACACCAGCAAGGAACAGACAACGGAUGGGACACCACCAGCAGAGGGCGCUCCCCAUGAACUGAGCUAAUUCUUGGAGGUAACCAGCGGGAGGCGCUGUGGUGCGCCUUACAACCUCCCUGAUAUGGUUGGUCCUCUGCCCUCUCUUCCUUCAAAUUCCUCAGCCCCAAGGCCUAUUAGCUUCCUGAAAUCACUGUAAGAGAGUGGAAAACAGAAAAACCUGGAACACCAAGAUACGCGCUGAACACCAUCGCAAGCUGUUGAUCCCAGCUUCUCAUACUCCAUUAUUCAUCUGCCUGCUGGCUACCAAUGAGACUGUAAGCUCCUUGGGGCAGAGACUUUGUCUUUUUGUUUGUUUGUAAAGCUCUGAGGACACUUUAGAUCGUGUGUGUACACACAGACCCAGACACACACACAAAUUAAAGCAUGUGCGUGCGCACACAGAGAAAACAAUCUUUCCAAUUAUCCCCCUGCAACAACCAGCUCUAUGCUGCUUUCAUGAGGUUUAUUGAGUUCUGUCAAAUUACCUCCUUUCUUUAGAAGGCCUGCUCUGCAAUACAUACUGCAUAUUCCAGUAGGUAUAUCAGGCAUCCCAGUCUGCUGUUUAUGAAUGAUUACUUCUCAUAUUUUACCAAAUCUAUACACUACACACAGAAUGCUCAAAUCAGUCCCUAGCCCACAAUUAUAUUCACAGACCUAUAAUACUGAUUACACUUUGGAUCCUCCCCUAAAUAAAGUAUUUGGACUAUC
Molecule: long non-coding RNA, 1239 nt
Organism: Mauremys reevesii (Reeves's turtle)
Lineage: Eukaryota; Metazoa; Chordata; Testudines; Geoemydidae
Exons: 2
Source: RefSeq, a predicted model, not a curated record